GACGAACGCUGGCGGCGUGCUUAACACAUGCAAGUCGAGCGGUAAGGCCCUUUCGGGGGUACACGAGCGGCGAGCGGGUGAGUAACACGUGGGUGACCUGCCCUCAGCUCUGGGAUAAGCCUGGGAAACCGGGUCUAAUACCGGAUAUGACUCCAUGACGCAUGUUGUGGGGUGGAAAGCCUUGUGCGGCUGAGGAUGGGCCCGCGGCCUAUCAGCUUGUUGGGGGGUGAUGGCCUACCAAGGCGACGACGGGUAGCCGGCCUGAGAGGGCGACCGGCCACACUGGGACUGAGACACGGCCCAGACUCCUACGGGAGGCAGCAGUGGGGAAUCUUGCGCAAUGGGCGAAAGCCUGACGCAGCGACGCCGCGUGAGGGAUGACGGCCU
Molecule: ribosomal RNA, 387 nt
Filed under: uncultured bacterium
Lineage: Bacteria
Description: bacterial SSU rRNA
Rfam family: Bacterial small subunit ribosomal RNA
Source: RNAcentral